This 253-nucleotide ribosomal RNA is filed under the name uncultured bacterium. RNAcentral's name for it is "partial 16S ribosomal RNA". It matches the Rfam family "Bacterial small subunit ribosomal RNA", at positions 524 to 776 of the family's 1533-position model. The record is from RNAcentral.
UACGUAGGGGGCAAGCGUUAUCCGGAUUUACUGGGUGUAAAGGGAGCGUAGACGGCCAGACAAGUCUGAAGUGAAAAUCCAGCGCUUAACGUUGGAAGUGCUUUGGAAACUGCCGGGCUAGAGUGCAGGAGGGGCAGGCGGAAUUCCUAGUGUAGCGGUGAAAUGCGUAGAUAUUAGGAGGAACACCAGUGGCGAAGGCGGCCUACUGGACGGUGACUGACGCUGAGGCUCGAAAGCGUGGGGAGCAAACAGG